This 468-nucleotide ribosomal RNA is filed under the name uncultured bacterium. Its description in RNAcentral is "partial 16S ribosomal RNA". It matches the Rfam family "Bacterial small subunit ribosomal RNA", at positions 28 to 507 of the family's 1533-position model. The record is from RNAcentral.
GACGAACGCUGGCGGCGUGCUUAACACAUGCAAGUCGAACGGAAAGGCCCUGCUUUUGUGGGGUGCUCGAGUGGCGAACGGGUGAGUAACACGUGAGUAACCUGCCCUUGACUUUGGGAUAACUUCAGGCAACUGGGGCUAAUACCGGAGAGGAGCUCCUGCUGCAUGGGGGGGGUUGGAAAGUUUGGGCGGAGGUGGCUGGACUCGCGGCUUAUCAGCUGGUUGGGGGGGGAGUGGCUUACCAGGCGUUUGGCGGAUAGCCGGCCUGGGAGGGUGGCCGGCGACAUUGGGACUGAGAUAGGGACCAGACUCCUACGGGGGGCAGCAGUGGGGAAUAUUGCCCAAUGGGCGGAAGCGUGAUGCGGCAACGCCGCGUGCGUGAUGACGGCCUUCUGGUUGUAAACCGCUUUCGGCUGUGACGAAGCGGGAGUGACGGUAAUGAGUAAAGAAGCACCGGCUAACUACGUG